AACGAACGCUGGCGGCAGGCCUAACACAUGCAAGUCGAGCGCCCCGCAAGGGGAGCGGCGGACGGGUGAGUAACGCGUGGGAACGUGCCCUCUUCUACGGAAUAGCCUCGGGAAACUGGGAGUAAUACCGUAUACGCCCUUAGGGGGAAAGAUUUAUCGGAGGAGGAUCGGCCCGCGUUGGAUUAGGUAGUUGGUGGGGUAAUGGCCUACCAAGCCGACGAUCCAUAGCUGGUUUGAGAGGAUGAUCAGCCACACUGGGACUGAGACACGGCCCAGACUCCUACGGGAGGCAGCAGUGGGGAAUCUUAGACAAUGGGCGCAAGCCUGAUCUAGCCAUGCCGCGUGAGCGAUGAAGGCCUUAGGGUUGUAAAGCUCUUUCAGCUGGAAGAUAAUGACGGUACCAGCAGAAGAAGCCCCGGCUAACUCCGUG
RNAcentral lists this ribosomal RNA (430 nucleotides) under uncultured bacterium. RNAcentral's name for it is "bacterial SSU rRNA". It matches the Rfam family "Bacterial small subunit ribosomal RNA", at positions 29 to 507 of the family's 1533-position model. The record is from RNAcentral.